CCAGUUGCAAGUCCAUCAUCGACUCGCAACUCGGCUCGUAGUUUUUUUUUUCACGUCACUUGCAACUCGACCCUCGACUUGGGGGUCAAAAUGUUGAGAUAGAUAGGGUUCAUAUCUACUUGAUAUAGAGAGGAUACAAUUUAUAAUUUUUCUUCCCAAGCACUUUACUCAUUUUAUUGGUCCAAAAAAAUAACCGACUUAAAUCUUUGUUUCUAAUGGACAAAAGGGAUAACAUGUUGACCACCAAGUGGAAUUUAUUUGUUAGUCAGUAAGAGGAUUUGAUGGUGUUGCAAACUCAUUACCCUGAGAGGCAAAUGAGUAAGGUGGAACCAUCCGCAGAAGUUGUUUUGCAUUUGAAAAAGCCUCAGGUCAAACACCACUGCUGGGUACUGGGAUGCACAGUCUACAAUCAAAACAAAGCAGUAAGUUCAUCUCAUGUUUUUUCCUGUCAUUUUUGUUUUUAUGGUCCCAUAUGUAUUUAUGAAUCAAUAUUUAUUUAUUUUUCUUUUUUCCCAAAUCAUACCUGAGUGCCAACGUAGUCCCCUGCAUAGCUAUCUUCAUUUCCCGCGGUCAUCAGUUUUUACAAAAUUUAACAUUAUGCUUUUCUUCGCCUAAAGAUUUUAUGGAAUGGAGGAGCACACCCCUAAGUUCUUUUUCUUAGGGGCAACAUGCUAACAUUUGUCAUAUGCUGUUUUCUUUCUUAUCAGGUGCCAACACGUUUUUGUGAACAUGCAUAAUACACUGAGAUGCAGUCAAAUUCUAAGUUCUUCUUUCUUUGAUGAAAAAUUCUAAAUUCGGAGUCAGCACUUUUUAUUUUGUUCCCUAACAAGGUAAUGAUGCAUCUUUUCCUCUUUCUUUUCCCUAGUGAGGCCAAAUAUAUUUUCUUGAUCAAGUUGUAUAUAGAAAUGUAGUUAUAGUUUUUCUGGGGAAGGCAAUGUUUUUUGCUGAAUAAAUGGGAACAAAUGCCGUCUAAAAGUAGUUGCACGCAAAUUGGAACAAGGAGGUGUUUUUGUUCUGAUCUUUCAGUUAGCACAUGUAUGAAGCUCAACCCAUCUGAAACAAACAAGUUAUCUGGCAUGUAAAAGAUAGUGAUACGCAAUUUUUCUCUACCACUUUCUAAGGCUAGAUCAGUUUUCUGAGCCUAGAUCACACUGACAUGCACUUUAUUUAGGCACAACAACACAAUGUUGUCUGUGUGUUGAUGUAGAUAUGGUCUGCUUAGAAAGACUUUGCUCUGAUUUUUUUGACGACAAAAAACUGUUUAACUGUUGUGUGUGUUUUCCAGAGACCAGGACCAUCAUAUGCUUGAUGGAAAAAGAAAGGAUAAUCAAGAGCAAAAAAUAAAGAUCUACCAUCAGAAAUUAUCUACAAGGUUGUACACGAUCUUGCCAGAAAGGAUCUACAAGGAGAGGCCAAAUUUUGUACUUGGGUUUUUGCAACUUUUCGUCAGCCACCUAAGCUUCUUUUGCAACUGUUUUUUUUUUCUGCCAACAAGGCCCAGGACUAUGCGCACAUGUAGCUCUUCUUUUUUGUCAAACAAACAAAUAGACAAAUAAAGCCCAACAAACAAGGUCCCGAGGGAGGAGGUAGGUCGGCUGGGUGGGGUGGACUGGCCAGACAAACAAACAAUACAAACAAGCGUCUAUGUGUGUGAGGGUGAUCGGGUGCAACCAGGCUGGUUGUUUGAUUAGAGGAUGAUGUCAGCUUAGAUGUGAGAUAUUAUCUCACAUCUAGAUGCAACAUAGACAGACCC
RNAcentral lists this long non-coding RNA (1753 nucleotides) under Triticum aestivum (bread wheat). Its description in RNAcentral is "long non-coding RNA (TAES_LNC023422)". The record is from RNAcentral. Lineage: Eukaryota; Viridiplantae; Streptophyta; Magnoliopsida; Poales; Poaceae.